CGAACGCUGGCGGCGUGCUUAACACAUGCAAGUCGAACGAAGAGCGAUGGAAGCUUGCUUCUAUCAAUCUUAGUGGCGAACGGGUGAGUAACGCGUAAUCAACCUGCCCUUCAGAGGGGGACAACAGUUGGAAACGACUGCUAAUACCGCAUACGAUCUAAUCUCGGCAUCGAGGAUAGAUGAAAGGUGGCCUCUACAUGUAAGCUAUCACUGAAGGAGGGGAUUGCGUCUGAUUAGCUAGUUGGAGGGGUAACGGCCCACCAAGGCGAUGAUCAGUAGCCGGUCUGAGAGGAUGAACGGCCACAUUGGGACUGAGACACGGCCCAGACUCCUACGGGAGGCAGCAGUGGGGAAUCUUCCGCAAUGGACGAAAGUCUGACGGAGCAACGCCGCGUGAGUGAUGACGGCCUUCGGGUUGUAAAGCUCUGUUAAUCGGGACGAAAGGCCUUCUUGCGAAUAGUGAGAAGGAUUGACGGUACCGGAAUAGAAGC
Molecule: ribosomal RNA, 491 nt
Filed under: Veillonella parvula
Lineage: Bacteria; Bacillati; Bacillota; Negativicutes; Veillonellales; Veillonellaceae
Description: bacterial SSU rRNA
Rfam family: Bacterial small subunit ribosomal RNA
Source: RNAcentral